RNAcentral lists this long non-coding RNA (288 nucleotides) under Chelonoidis abingdonii (Abingdon island giant tortoise). Its description in RNAcentral is "lncRNA (ENSCABG00000018950.1)". The record is from RNAcentral. Lineage: Eukaryota; Metazoa; Chordata; Testudines; Testudinidae.
UCGCCAUUUGGUUUUUGCUCCCGCGUCCGGGAGGUUCGGGGAUUCCUGCUCUGCCUCCCCGGUUCAGCUCACAGACCAGCUCAUUCCAGCAGAUGAUGUUUGGGUCGGGUGACCACUGGUGGGUCCCAUCCCUGAACCAGUCAGGGAUCAGGGAGUAAUGGAACUGUGCUACAGCGAAAGGAGAGGUGAGUGUAAUUGUAUGAAUUAAGCAGCAAAGCCCAAGCAGAUGAUGGAGACACAGGUGGGCAAAGGACAGAACCGAAUAAAUCAGGUGACAAUAAAAUUGUA